RNAcentral lists this long non-coding RNA (287 nucleotides) under Nicotiana tabacum (common tobacco). RNAcentral's name for it is "long non-coding RNA (NTAB_LNC006833)". Lineage: Eukaryota; Viridiplantae; Streptophyta; Magnoliopsida; Solanales; Solanaceae. The record is from RNAcentral.
GCCAUGGAAGUCACAAAAAACCGGGGCAGAAAAUUUUCUGCCGAUUGUCGAAAAUUUUCUCGGAAGAACGGGGAAACAAUUUCAAUACUUUUAAGUUCUAGGUCGCCCACCAGUAUAAUGCGGGAAUACUUUUAAGUUCUAGGUCGCCCACCAGUAUAAUGCGGGAAUACAUUUAAGUUCUAGGUCGCCCACCAGUAUAAUGCGGGAAUACUUUUAAGUUCUAGGUCGCCCACCAGUAUAAUGCGGGAAUACAUUUAUGUUCUAGGUCGCCCACCAGUAUAAUGCGG